GUCUAUGGCCAUGCUACUACCCUGAACAAGCACAAUCCUGUCUGACCUUAGAAGCUAAGCAGAGUUUAAGCAGGGUUAGGCCUGGUUAGGACUUGGAUGGGAGACCACCUAGGAAGACCAGGUGCUGUAGGCA
This is a ribosomal RNA of Pteropus vampyrus (large flying fox), 133 nucleotides long. Lineage: Eukaryota; Metazoa; Chordata; Mammalia; Chiroptera; Pteropodidae. The record is from Ensembl.